Molecule: ribosomal RNA, 449 nt
Filed under: uncultured bacterium
Lineage: Bacteria
Description: partial 16S ribosomal RNA
Rfam family: Bacterial small subunit ribosomal RNA
Source: RNAcentral
AGCGAACGCUGGCGGCAGGCCUAACACAUGCAAGUCGAACGGAUCCUUCGGGAUUAGUGGCGGACGGGUGAGUAACACGUGGGAACGUGCCCUUUGGUUCGGAACAACUCAGGGAAACUUGAGCUAAUACCGGAUGUGCCCUUCGGGGGAAAGAUUUAUCGCCCUUGGAGCGGCCCGCGUCUGAUUAGCUAGUUGGUGAGGUAAAGGUUCACCAAGGCGACGAUCAGUAGCUGGUCUGAGAGGAUGAUCAGCCACAUUGGGACUGAAACACGGCCCAAACUCCUACGGGAGGCAGCAGUGGGGAAUCUUGCGCAAUGGGCGAAAGCCUGACGCAGCCAUGCCGCGUGAAUGAUGAAGGUCUUAGGAUUGUAAAAUUCUUUCACCGGGGACGAUAAUGACGGUACCCGGAGAAGAAGCCCCGGCUAACUUCGUGCCAGCCGCCGCCGUAA